RNAcentral lists this small RNA (17 nucleotides) under Arabidopsis thaliana (thale cress). Its description in RNAcentral is "ATSL303550". The record is from RNAcentral. Lineage: Eukaryota; Viridiplantae; Streptophyta; Magnoliopsida; Brassicales; Brassicaceae.
AGAAACAGAGUAAAACA